RNAcentral lists this ribosomal RNA (253 nucleotides) under uncultured bacterium. RNAcentral describes it as "partial 16S ribosomal RNA". It matches the Rfam family "Bacterial small subunit ribosomal RNA", at positions 524 to 776 of the family's 1533-position model. The record is from RNAcentral.
UACAGAGGUCUCAACCGUUGUUCGGAUUCAUUGGGCGUAAAGGGUGCGUAGGCGGUCGUGCAAGUCGGAUGUGAAAUCUCAGGGCUCAACCCUGAAACUGCAUUCGAUACUGCCGUGCUUGAGGACUGGAGAGGAGACUGGAAUUUACGGUGUAGCGGUGAAAUGCGUAGAUAUCGUAAGGAAGACCAGUGGCGAAGGCGGGUCUCUGGACAGUUCCUGACGCUGAGACGCGAAAGCGUGGGGAGCGAACAGG